UACAGAGGUCCCAAGCGUUGUUCGGAUUCAUUGGGCGUAAAGGGUGUGUAGGUGGCGCCGUAAGUCGGGUGUGAAAUUUCGGAGCUUAACUCCGAAACUGCAUUCGAUACUGCGGUGCUUGAGGACUGGAGAGGAGACUGGAAUUCAUGGUGUAGCAGUGAAAUGCGUAGAGACCAUGAGGAAGACCAGUGGCGAAGGCGGGUCUCUGGACAGUUCCUGACACUGAGACACGAAGGCCAGGGGAGCAAACGGG
This 253-nucleotide ribosomal RNA is filed under the name uncultured bacterium. RNAcentral's name for it is "partial 16S ribosomal RNA". It matches the Rfam family "Bacterial small subunit ribosomal RNA", at positions 524 to 776 of the family's 1533-position model. The record is from RNAcentral.